UGAGGAAUAUUGGACAAUGGGCGCAAGCCUGAUCCAGCCAUGCCGCGUGCAGGAAGACGGUCCUAUGGAUUGUAAACUGCUUUUAUACAGGAAGAAACACCUCUACGUGUAGAGACUUGACGGUACUGUAUGAAUAAGCAUCGGCUAACUCCGUGCCAGCAGCCGCGGUAAUACGGAGGAUGCAAGCGUUAUCCGGAAUCAUUGGGUUUAAAGGGUCCGUAGGCGGUUUAAUAAGUCAGUGGUGAAAGCCCAUCGCUCAACGAUGGAACGGCCAUUGAUACUGUUAAACUUGAAUUAUUAGGAAGUAACUAGAAUAUGUAGUGUAGCGGUGAAAUGCUUAGAGAUUACAUGUAAUACCAAUUGCGAAGGCAGGUUACUACUAAUAUAUUGACGCUGAUGGACGAAAGCGUGGGGAGCGAACA
RNAcentral lists this ribosomal RNA (422 nucleotides) under uncultured Flavobacterium sp. RNAcentral's name for it is "bacterial SSU rRNA". It matches the Rfam family "Bacterial small subunit ribosomal RNA", at positions 355 to 774 of the family's 1533-position model. Lineage: Bacteria; Pseudomonadati; Bacteroidota; Flavobacteriia; Flavobacteriales; Flavobacteriaceae. The record is from RNAcentral.